CUACUUUUAGUUAACUCUCAUCCUGAAGAUCUACUUAGUUUUAGUCAUUGUGAUUGUAAGAGGACUUUAUCUUAAAUCAUUCAUAUUGUUUGGAUGCUGAGUCCCCUUCUUUCCUCUUCUUUCUCUGUAUACGUCUUUGAAGAGAUGGUAUGCAUUUUUAUAUCAUGCUCUCAAAUAACUUUUAGAUGUGCAAUCCUGUCCACUUGUAGCUCUGCAUCAAUAUCUGUAAUGUUAUCAAAAUUACACCAACUAUAUGGAGCAUCCCCAUUCAAUGAGUUUAAGGUUUAACUGAAAAGAUGAAGCAAGAAUGCCUAUAAUUUAAAAAAUAGAAGUAAAUCCUAGUCCUGAACCUUGAAGAGAUUUGUGGAGAAAUGAAUUAGCAAAAUUCAGAGUGCUUCAUAAAAGACUGAUGGCAAGAUUAUAACAGAGUAAGAGUAGUU
Long non-coding RNA from Heterocephalus glaber (naked mole-rat), 440 nucleotides. RefSeq lists it as uncharacterized. The record is from RefSeq and is a predicted model, not a curated record. Lineage: Eukaryota; Metazoa; Chordata; Mammalia; Rodentia; Bathyergidae.